CCGCCAUGCAACAGCCCCGCUCGAACCGUGUCAGGUCCGGAAGGAAGCAGCACUUAGGGAUGUGGUCUGUGUCGUGGAUCGAU
RNAcentral lists this signal recognition particle RNA (83 nucleotides) under Desulfoluna spongiiphila. RNAcentral's name for it is "Bacterial small signal recognition particle RNA". It matches the Rfam family "Bacterial small signal recognition particle RNA". From Rfam's summary of the family: The signal recognition particle (SRP) is a universally conserved ribonucleoprotein involved in the co-translational targeting of proteins to membranes. The record is from Rfam by way of RNAcentral. Lineage: Bacteria; Pseudomonadati; Thermodesulfobacteriota; Desulfobacteria; Desulfobacterales; Desulfolunaceae.